GACGAACGCUGGCGGCGUGCUUAACACAUGCAAGUCGAACGGAAAGGCCCUGCUUUUGUGGGGUGCUCGAGUGGCGAACGGGUGAGUAACACGUGAGUAACCUGCCCUUGACUUUGGGAUAACUUCAGGAAACUGGGGCUAAUACCGGAUAGGAGCUCCUGCUGCAUGGUGGGGGUUGGAAAGUUUCGGCGGUUGGGGAUGGACUCGCGGCUUAUCAGCUUGUUGGUGGGGUAGUGGCUUACCAAGGCUUUGACGGGUAGCCGGCCUGAGAGGGUGACCGGCCACAAUGGGACUGAGGUACGGCCCAGACUCCUACGGGAGGCAGCAGUGGGGAAUAUUGCACAAUGGGCGGAAGCCUGAUGCAGCAACGCCGCGUGCGUGAUGACGGCCUUCGGGUUGUAAACCGCUUUCGCCUGUGACGAAGCGUGAGUGACGGUAAUGGGUAAAGAAGCACCGGCUAACUACGUG
This 468-nucleotide ribosomal RNA is filed under the name uncultured bacterium. Its description in RNAcentral is "partial 16S ribosomal RNA". It matches the Rfam family "Bacterial small subunit ribosomal RNA", at positions 28 to 507 of the family's 1533-position model. The record is from RNAcentral.